This 497-nucleotide ribosomal RNA is filed under the name uncultured bacterium. RNAcentral describes it as "partial 16S ribosomal RNA". It matches the Rfam family "Bacterial small subunit ribosomal RNA", at positions 30 to 523 of the family's 1533-position model. The record is from RNAcentral.
AUUGAACGCUGGCGGCAUGCCUUACACAUGCAAGUCGAACGGUAACAGGUCUUCGGAUGCUGACGAGUGGCGAACGGGUGAGUAAUACAUCGGAACGUGCCUAGUAGUGGGGGAUAACUACUCGAAAGAGUGGCUAAUACCGCAUGAGAUCUACGGAUGAAAGCAGGGGAUCGCAAGACCUUGUGCUACUAGAGCGGCCGAUGGCAGAUUAGGUAGUUGGUGGGAUAAAAGCUUACUAAGCCGACGAUCUGUAGCUGGUCUGAGAGGACGAUCAGCCACACUGGGACUGAGACACGGCCCAGACUCCUACGGGAGGCAGCAGUGGGGAAUUUUGGACAAUGGGCGAAAGCCUGAUCCAGCAAUGCCGCGUGCAGGAUGAAGGCCUUCGGGUUGUAACUGCUUUUGUACGGAACGAAAAGCCCCGGGUUAAUACCCUGGGGUCAUGACGGUACCGUAAGAAUAAGCACCGGCUAACUACGUGCCAGCCGCCGCAGUAA